AUGGCUCAGGACGAACGCUGGCGGCGUGCUUAACACAUGCAAGUCGAACGGGAGUAUUGAAGAAGCUUGCUUAGAGAUACUUAGUGGCGGACGGGUGAGUAACGCGUGAGGAGCUGUCCUAUGCAGGGGGACAACAGCUGGAAACGGCUGCUAAUACCCCAUAAGCCGAGAGGUAAAAGGAUCAAUCCGGCAGAGGAGGUACUCGCGUCCUAUCAGCUAGUAGGUGAGGUAACGGCUCACCUAGGCGAAGACGGGUAGCCGGCCUGAGAGGGCGAACGGCCACACUGGAACUGAGAUACGGUCCAGACUCCUACGGGAGGCAGCAGUGGGGAAUAUUGGGCAAUGGGGGAAACCCUGACCCAGCGACGCCGCGUGGGUGAAGAAAUCCUUCGGGAUGUAAAGCCCUGUUGUAUGGGAAGAGCGGAAGACGGUACCAUACGAGGAAGCCCCGGCAAACUACGUGCCAGCCGCAGC
This 474-nucleotide ribosomal RNA is filed under the name uncultured bacterium. RNAcentral's name for it is "bacterial SSU rRNA". It matches the Rfam family "Bacterial small subunit ribosomal RNA", at positions 19 to 518 of the family's 1533-position model. The record is from RNAcentral.